This 471-nucleotide ribosomal RNA is filed under the name uncultured bacterium. RNAcentral's name for it is "bacterial SSU rRNA". It matches the Rfam family "Bacterial small subunit ribosomal RNA", at positions 28 to 472 of the family's 1533-position model. The record is from RNAcentral.
GAUGAACGCUGGCGGCGUGCUUAACACAUGCAAGUCGAACGGACUUAAGAUAAGAGCUUGCUCUAAUCUUAAGUUAGUGGCGGACGGGUGAGUAACGCGUGGGUAACCUGCCUCACACUGGGGGAUAACAGUUAGAAAUGGCUGCUAAUACCGCAUAAGCGCACGAUACCGCAUGGUUUAAUCGUGAAAGAUGGCCUCUACAUGUAAGCUAUCGCCAAAGGAUGGGCCUGCGUCUGAUUAGCUAGUUGGUGGGGUAACGGCUCACCAAGGCGACGAUCAGUAGCCGGUCUGAGAGGAUGAACGGCCACAUUGGGACUGAGACACGGCCCAGACUCCUACGGGAGGCAGCAGUGGGGGAAUCUUCCGCAAUGGACGAAAGUCUGACGGAGCAAUGCCGCGUGAGUGAUGAAGGUUUCGGACCGUAAAGCUCUUUUGUUAUGACGAAUGUGCAUGAUGUGAACAAUGUUGUGU